Molecule: ribosomal RNA, 844 nt
Filed under: uncultured Pseudomonas sp.
Lineage: Bacteria; Pseudomonadati; Pseudomonadota; Gammaproteobacteria; Pseudomonadales; Pseudomonadaceae
Description: bacterial SSU rRNA
Rfam family: Bacterial small subunit ribosomal RNA
Source: RNAcentral
AUUGAACGCUGGCGGCAGGCCUAACACAUGCAAGUCGAGCGGUAGAGAGAAGCUUGCUUCUCUUGAGAGCGGCGGACGGGCGAGUAAUGCCUAGGAAUCUGCCUGGUAGUGGGGGAUAACGUUCGGAAACGGACGCUAAUACCGCAUACGUCCUACGGGAGAAAGCAGGGGACCUUCGGGCCUUGCGCUAUCAGAUGAGCCUAGGUCGGAUUAGCUAGUUGGUGAGGUAAUGGCUCACCAAGGCGACGAUCCGUAACUGGUCUGAGAGGAUGAUCAGUCACACUGGAACUGAGACACGGUCCAGACUCCUACGGGAGGCAGCAGUGGGGAAUAUUGGACAAUGGGCGAAAGCCUGAUCCAGCCAUGCCGCGUGUGUGAAGAAGGUCUUCGGAUUGUAAAGCACUUUAAGUUGGGAGGAAGGGUUGUAGAUUAAUACUCUGCAAUUUUGACGUUACCGACAGAAUAAGCACCGGCUAACUCUGUGCCAGCAGCCGCGGUAAUACAGAGGGUGCAAGCGUUAAUCGGAAUUACUGGGCGUAAAGCGCGCGUAGGUGGUUUGUUAAGUUGGAUGUGAAAUCCCCGGGCUCAACCUGGGAACUGCAUUCAAAACUGACUGACUAGAGUAUGGUAGAGGGUGGUGGAAUUUCCUGUGUAGCGGUGAAAUGCGUAGAUAUAGGAAGGAACACCAGUGGCGAAGGCGACCACCUGGACUAAUACUGACACUGAGGUGCGAAAGCGUGGGGAGCAAACACGAGUAGAUACCCUUGUAGUCCAAGGCGAAUUCCACAGUGGAUAUCAAGCUUAUCGAUACACGUCGAGCGGCGGGUGUCGUUCCCUGUUACCA